RNAcentral lists this ribosomal RNA (206 nucleotides) under Micrococcus luteus. RNAcentral describes it as "partial 23S ribosomal RNA". It matches the Rfam family "Bacterial large subunit ribosomal RNA", at positions 2208 to 2413 of the family's 2925-position model. The record is from RNAcentral. Lineage: Bacteria; Bacillati; Actinomycetota; Actinomycetes; Micrococcales; Micrococcaceae.
GUCACUCUGGAUAUCUAACUUCGGCCCGUGAUCCGGGUCAGGGACAGUGCCUGAUGGGUAGUUUAACUGGGGCGGUUGCCUCCUAAAAUGUAACGGAGGCGCCCAAAGGUUCCCUCAGCCUGGUUGGUAAUCAGGUGUCGAGUGCAAGUGCACAAGGGAGCUUGACUGUGAGAGUGGCAGCUCGAGCAGGGACGAAAGUCGGGACU